CAACCUGGGUGUGUGCCCUGACUGGGAAUCAAACUUGUGACCUUCUGGUGUACAGGCCAUGCUCCAACCAACUGGGUCAUGCCUUUCUAGCUCUGUUUUUAUGUUUCCUAUCUUUUUGUUGAACUUCCCACUAAGUUCAUAUACUCUUCUCCUAAGUUUAUGGAGCAUCUUUAUAACCAGUGUUUUGCACUCCUGAGCAUCUAGCACAUUGCUUGUCUCCAUUGCAUUGAGUUCUUUCCUGGAGUUUUAUUCUGUUCUUUCAUUUGGGACACGCGUCUUGGUCUCCUCAUUUUGGCUGCCUCCCUCUGUUUGCUUCUAUGUCUUAGGUAGAGCUGCUAUGUCUCCUGGCCUUGUUCGAGUGGCCUUAUGUAGUAGGUGUCCUAUAGGGUCCAGUGGCACAGUCUCCCUGUUCCCUGAACUGGGCAAUCCAGGUGUGCCCCUUCUCCCGAUCCCUCUCUCAUGCGAGCUGGGUACACCCUCCCGUUAUAGUUCAGCCUUGAUUGCUGUUGAUACAUCCAUGGGAUUUACCCACAAGGCUGAGUGGCUACAAGGACUGGCUGUGCCCACCAUGGAAGAUCACCAUGGAGCAGGACUUACGCCAGCAGGGCUUUGGUGCCUGCUGAGUCUGCCUCUUGAGUGUGUCACUUAGAGGUGGUUGGGGGUUCUUCAUUGUGGACUGAAGCUGUCCACACGGUGUGCUGGCCCUGGGGGCCUCCUGGGACUUUCAGGUCAAGGUCAGCCAACGUGCGUUAGGCAAUUCUUGACUCCUGGGCUAGUGGUGGAGUGCACACUGGCUGUUACUUUCCUGAGGGUAUAGGAGUAAAAAUAAAAUUAAUGUGUAAACUUGAAUUACUUUCUUCCUCUGGGCUAUGGCUUUGCUUUCACUCGACAAUGAACGGUUGACCUUAAUAAUUUCCAAGAUAAUUCUAACAUAAGAUGCCUGGGCUAAGAUGUCUCUUUUCUAUUUCCUGACACACAAAAUAAAAUUUUAGUUAGCAUUCAAUGAUGUCUUCAUGCCUUUUCCUAUAACCCUCUCCCUCUGCCAAGAAACAGGUAACUUCCCGGCAUGGAUUAUUCCCAGGUCUCAGGCUGUGUGAGUGACUCGAAGACAACUCUGGAAUUGUCCUUUUUUGUUAAAGGUUUUAAAAAAUUGUGUUCUGGUAGGAAAUGGAGGCAGUAGAAUGUGAUUGUGAAUUCCCUAAAGUCAAAGGAGAACACAGUCUUCUCGCCUUUUGUGAUGCCACAUCGUGUUAUCUGCCCAUUACACCACGCUAUCAAACAAACCUGUUGGGUUUGGUUAGACUCUGCUCAUCUUCCACUGUGACGGCAAAACCAUCCGAAUGCUUGUAAUGCCUGAGCCCCACAGGGGGUGAGAAAGGCUGGCGGAGAAGUUAGAAGCAAGAAGAACACGCCACUGGGCGAGUCCCUGGUUGGGGCACGAAUGUGGGUGAGGAGUGGGCUCAGAGAUGUUUUGGGAAAUCAGGGUGAUGAAAGCAUUGUCAAUGAGCUCCCGCCAGAGGGAGGGCUAGUGUGCGGACCUGGCGUGGGAGAGCAGAAGAUAAAGCAAUGGGUGUCUGUGUGUAUUAGCUUGCAGGAGCUGCCAUAACAAAA
Pipistrellus kuhlii (Kuhl's pipistrelle) is the source of this 1611-nucleotide long non-coding RNA. RefSeq lists it as uncharacterized. The record is from RefSeq and is a predicted model, not a curated record. NCBI's taxonomy places the organism in Eukaryota, Metazoa, Chordata, Mammalia, Chiroptera, Vespertilionidae. The transcript has 2 exons.